This 413-nucleotide ribosomal RNA is filed under the name uncultured bacterium. RNAcentral's name for it is "bacterial SSU rRNA". It matches the Rfam family "Bacterial small subunit ribosomal RNA", at positions 355 to 776 of the family's 1533-position model. The record is from RNAcentral.
UCGAGAAUCUUCCACAAUGGGCGAAAGCCUGAUGGAGCGACGUUACGUGAGCGAAGACGCCCUUCGGGGUGUAAAGCUCUUUUUUAGGGGAGGAAUCCGCAAGGAUGACAGUACUCUAAGAAUAAGGGGAUCCUAAUUCUGUGCCAGCAGGAGCGGUAAUACAGAAUCCCCAAGCGUUAUCCGGAUUUACUGGGCGUAAAGGGUUCGUAGGCGGCAAAAUAAGUCUUGUGUUAAAACUCAUCGGCUUAACCUUUGAGCUGCUCAAGAAACUGUUUAGCUAGAAGGCAUUAGAAGUUAGCGGAACCGACGGUGUAGGGGUGAAAUCCGUUGAUAUCGUCGGGAACACCAAAAGCGAAAGCAGCUAACUAGGAUGACCUUGACGCUGAGGAACGAAAGCGUGGGGAUCAAAAAGG